This 253-nucleotide ribosomal RNA is filed under the name uncultured bacterium. RNAcentral describes it as "partial 16S ribosomal RNA". It matches the Rfam family "Bacterial small subunit ribosomal RNA", at positions 524 to 776 of the family's 1533-position model. The record is from RNAcentral.
UACGAAGGGGGCAAGCGUUGUUCGGAAUUACUGGGCGUAAAGGGCGCGUAGGCGGUGCACUAAGUCAGGCGUGAAAGCCCUGGGCUCAACCCGGGAAUUGCGCUUGAUACUGGUGCGCUUGAAUCCAGGAGAGGUUGGUGGAAUUCCCAGUGUAGAGGUGAAAUUCGUAGAGAUUGGGAAGAACACCGGUGGCGAAGGCAAUCCCCUGGGCCUGCACUGACGCUCAUGCACGAAAGCGUGGGGAGCAAACAGG